RNAcentral lists this transfer RNA (59 nucleotides) under Dipodomys ordii (Ord's kangaroo rat). It matches the Rfam family "tRNA", at positions 7 to 64 of the family's 71-position model. From Rfam's summary of the family: Transfer RNA (tRNA) molecules are approximately 80 nucleotides in length. Lineage: Eukaryota; Metazoa; Chordata; Mammalia; Rodentia; Heteromyidae. The record is from Rfam by way of RNAcentral.
GUGGCUCAGUGGUAGAGCGCUUGCCUUGCAUGCCCAAGGCCCUGGGUUCGAUUCCCAGC